This is a long non-coding RNA of Acinonyx jubatus (cheetah), 2945 nucleotides long. RefSeq lists it as uncharacterized. Lineage: Eukaryota; Metazoa; Chordata; Mammalia; Carnivora; Felidae. The transcript has 3 exons. The record is from RefSeq and is a predicted model, not a curated record.
GGGCUGCUCUGAACAAAAUUCCGUUGAAGCAAAGCAGGAGUUCAGGGUGGUAACGGUUUCUCAUUGGCUGAGUGGUGGCAGUUUCUCGUUGGCUGGGCUGUUGCUGGGCAAGGAGGAAAUCUUUCUUCUUCCUGUUGGGGUAGUCCAGUGAAUUUCUUCCUGCCCAGGAAAGCAAAAGGAUCUGCGCUGGAAAGUUUGUGGGCUCUGCUCCCAGAGAGUCCUUGCUAUUCCGCCCAUUGAGUGGAGGGCCUUGAAUAUGACAAGCAUUAUGAGGCUAUAUGACUUCUGAGGCUAUGUCACAGAAGGCAAUACAGCUCCUGCCUGGUUCUUUCAGCCACUCUCCCAGGGCCCUGAGCACCAUGUAAGCAGCAUAACUGCUCUGAGAUCACCAUGCUAUGAGGAAGCCCAAAGUAGCCCAUGCAGAGACUACAUGGAAAGACCCAGAGACUAUGUGGGGAGAGAAAGAUGUCCAGCCAGCCUCCAGCUGCUCCAGCCCCCCCUGCUGUUCCAGCUGCAGCUACUGUCUAACUCAGAGCCACAACCACUCAACCAAGCCCUUCCCGAAUUCCUGGGCCCCAGAAACUAUGAACAAGAAUAAAAUGCUUUUUUGCUUUACAUCAUCAAGUUUUGAAUCUGGAACAUUCAUCCUUCAGAUUCUGCCUCUACUGACUCGGCCAGUUAUCCAGUUCCAACUCUCAUUCUCAGUUUGAGUAAUUUGGGAGAGACCCUGAAACAUGGUAAAUGCCUUUUAGGUAUGUUAUCUCUGUAAUCACCAAGCCCCAUGGUGUGUACACCUGGGAGGAGAGUUUUGUUGUUGUUGCUGUUGUUAUUGUUAAGUAUUCUACCCUAGACUCACUGAACCAGAAUCUCCAGGAAACAAUGAGCCAGGACUCGACCGAACUGUCCUACUCUCUGCCAUCAUCCUUAACCAUUUUUAUAAUUAUUAUACUUGUAUUGUAUUUCUAUACCCCAACAUAUGAAGGCAAAUUUAGAGACGGAUCCUUUGAGAAUUUCAUGUGAAGGGAGGGAUUAAUCAGAUUGCCCUGGCAAUCCGAGUAGCAUAAAAGAUUUAUUUACCUGCUCUUUAAACAUUUUCUCUCUUUAAACAUUACCUGCUCUUUAAACACUUUCGUAAGUAUAUUUCACUUGGCUCUGGAAACAAAACAGCUAAAUAUGUGCUAUCUAGAGUAAUAAUAAUUGAAACUCUGUGAAUUGUCUCCAAAAGAAAGAGAUAUUACAGAAUCAAUGAGGAGCCCUGAAUUUAAUCCUCCUAUAAAAAGUGCUAUAUGAUAGAGAAGAGAUACAAAAAUGGUUUGGAGCUGUUAUUUGGUGUUGAAAUAGCUUGGGGAAAGAAGGAAUCUAAUUUGGAAUCAAAAAUAACACAUAAUGUAUGAUGUGACAGCAUACAUCAAAAUCAAUGUUAAUCAGAUUAAAUUAUUAAAAGGGGAAAGAUAAACCAUGGUAACAUUAGAAAAGGAAAAUAUAUAUUUAUUAAGUUUUCUGAAGGGAGGAAAGUCAAAAGUUAAAAAUGAGUCAGCAAGGCUGUGUUCCUUCUAGAGUUUCUAGGGAUAAAUCUGUUUUCUUGCCUUUUCCAGCUGCUAGAGGCCUCCUGCAUUCCUUGUCUCAAGGCCCCAUCCUCCACCUUCAAAGCCAGUAGUGUAGUAACAUCUUCCUCUCUCUCUCUCUCUCUCUCCCUCUUUCUCCCUCACUACCCCCUGCUUCCAUCAUCACAUCUCUGACUCUGACCGCCUACUCCCCUCUUAUAAGGACCCUUGUGAUGACAUUGGGCCCACCUGGGUAAUUCAGAAUCAUCUUCCAAUCUCAAGAUCCUUAACCUAAUGACAUCUGCAAAACACCUGUUGCCAUGUAAGGGGAUACACUCACAGGCUCCAGAGAUUAGGACAUGGACACUCUUCAGAGGUCAUUACUCUGACUUCCACAGCUGUACAAAACGGUACUGACAUUGAUGGCUGUGUCAUAGAGACUGAUCUCCCUGAUGGCUGAGAGGAGUCUUAGAGCGGCUAUUCCAUAGUUCCCUGAGCCACUCCUUUCAACAUACAACAGAACUUGUUGAGUGGGGAUAGUCCCAUUCUGAUCCACUUUGUUGACAGAAUCUUGCUCUGAGGAGCUAUUAGCUCUUGUUGGGGUUCACCAGGAACUUAAUAUCACAACAAAGUCCCCUCCACUCCCACCCCAGUGUCCUGGGGAACAAGGACUCGUUGAUCAACUCCCAGUGACAUUUAUUCUAUUUAUUCCACCUGUGAACAGAGUAGUCGAUGAAAACCCAAGGGCCGCUGUUUUCUAGGGAUGUCUCACAAACUGUGAACACAAACAAAUCUAUAGAAAGACACAAACCGUGGGAUCAUAAGAAAUCUAUGAGCUGAUGAGCCUGCACGAUGAGCUAAGCAUGAGUCUAAGAGCUUUGUGUAUGAUACUUACUACCUAAUUUAACUUCACACUGACUUUAUGAGGCACGUGCUAUUCUUUUUUAAUUUUUUUGUUUAUUUAUUUUUGAGAGAGAGACAGAGUGUGAGUGGAGGAGGAGCAGAGACACCAGGAGACGCAGAUUCCUUAGCAGGCUCCAGGCUCUGAGCUGUCAGCACAGAGCUCUAUACGGGGCUCGAACUCACCGACCGCAAGAUCACCACCCUGGGUGAAGUUGGACGCUUAACCGAGUAAGCCAUCCAGGCGCCCCAGAGGCACGUGCUAUUCUUAUCCUUAUUUUACAGAUGAAGAAAAUGAGCCAUGAUGAAUUUUGAAUUAUUAAAGAUCUAAAGACCAAGUGUAUUUGUCCAUAGGCAUCAGGCACACCCUGCAUUUGUCACAGGAAGAAAUAACUCAAAAAGAACCUGUGACUCUAUCUCCAGAAGCUACCUCUUGCCAGCGAAACUAAUAGGGUACAUUGCCUAUUUAAAUGUGAAUUUAAAUAAAACAUUUUCUCUACC